RNAcentral lists this ribosomal RNA (1387 nucleotides) under uncultured prokaryote. RNAcentral's name for it is "partial 16S ribosomal RNA". It matches the Rfam family "Bacterial small subunit ribosomal RNA". The record is from RNAcentral.
CUUAAACAUGCAAGUCGAACGGCAGCAUAGAGAGCUUGCUCUCUGAUGGCGAGUGGCGAACGGGUGAGUAACACGUGGGUUACCUGCCCUGAAGCGGGGGACAACCACUGGAAACGGUGGCUAAUACCCCAUAGUCCGGUAACGGUAAAGGAUCUUUUGAUUCGCUUCAGGAUGGGCCUGCGGGCUAUUAGUUUGUUGGUAGGGUAAUGGCCUACCAAGGCGACGACGGCUAUCCGACCUGAGAGGGUGAUCGGUCACACUGGCACUGAGACACGGGCCAGACUCCUACGGGAGGCAGCAGUUAAGAAUAUUGCGCAAUGGGGGCAACCCUGACGCAGCCACGCCGCGUGGGCGAUGAAGGCCUUCGGGUUGUAAACUCCGGUAAAGUGGGACGAAUAAGCGUAUAUAGGCCAUGUGAUGACGGUACCAUCCUGAAGCCCCGGCUAAUUACGUGCCAGCAGCCGCGGUAAUACGUAUGGGGCAAGCGUUGUUCGGAUUUAUUGGGCGUAAAGGGCACGCAGGCGGACUGAUAAGUUGGAUGUAUAAUCUCCAGGCUCAACCUGGACUCUGCAUCCAAAACUGCCAGUCUAGAGUAUUAGAGGGGAAAGCGGAAUUCUCAGUGUAGCGGUGGAAUGCGUAGAUAUCGAGAGGAACACCAGUGGCGAAGGCGGCUUUCUGGCUGUAUACUGACGCUCAUGUGCGAAAGCGUGGGGAGCAAACAGGAUUAGAUACCCUGGUAGUCCACGCCGUAAACGUUGUGUACUAGGUGUCGGGGGUUUCAACGCCCUCGGUGCCGCAGCUAACGUAUUAAGUACACCGCCUGGGGAGUAUGCCCGCAAGGGUGAAACUCAAAGGAAUUGACGGGGGCCCGCACAAGCGGUGGAGCAUGUGGUUUAAUUCGACGAUACGCGAAGAACCUUACCCGGGCUUGACAUCUAGUGGAUAGGCGCAGAGAUGCGCCCUCCUUUUCAGGCUGCCAUACAGGUGUUGCAUGGUCGUCGUCAGCUCGUGUCGUGAGAUGUUGGGUUAAGUCCCGCAACGAGCGCAACCCCUACCUCCUGUUGCUACCAGGUAAUGCUGGGCACUCUGAAGGUACCGCCGGUGACAAACCGGAGGAAGGUGAGGAUGACGUCAAAUCCGCAUGGCCCUUACGUCCGGGGCUACACACGUGCUACAAUGGCCGGUACAAAGGGCAGCGAAGCCGCGAGGUGGAGCAAAUCUCAAAAAGCCGGUCUCAGUUCGGAUUGCAGUCUGCAACUCGACUGCAUGAAGUCGGAAUCGCUAGUAAUCGUGGAUCAGCAAUGUCGCGGUGAAACGUUCCCGGGCCUUGUACACACCGCCCGCCACACCACCCGAGUUGGAGGCACCCGAAGGGGCUGUGCUAACC